UACGGGAUAAUAUAUUUGAGAGGCAUCUCUUGAAUAUCAAAGGUGAGCCAGUACAGGAUGGACCCGCGUCUGAUUAGCUAGUUGGUAAGGUAACGGCUUACCAAGGCGACGAUCAGUAGCCGACCUGAGAGGGUGAUCGGCCACAUUGGAACUGAGACACGGUCCAAACUCCUACGGGAGGCAGCAGUGGGGAAUAUUGCACAAUGGGCGAAAGCCUGAUGCAGCAACGCCGCGUGAGUGAUGAAGGCCUUCGGGUCGUAAAACUCUGUCCUCAAGGAAGAUAAUGACGGUACUUGAGGAGGAAGCCCCGGCUAACUACGUGCCAGCAGCCGCGGUAAUACGUAGGGGGCUAGCGUUAUCCGGAUUUACUGGGCGUAAAGGGUGCGUAGGCG
RNAcentral lists this ribosomal RNA (392 nucleotides) under Clostridioides difficile. RNAcentral describes it as "bacterial SSU rRNA". It matches the Rfam family "Bacterial small subunit ribosomal RNA", at positions 167 to 577 of the family's 1533-position model. The record is from RNAcentral. Lineage: Bacteria; Bacillati; Bacillota; Clostridia; Peptostreptococcales; Peptostreptococcaceae.